UACAGAGGGGGCUAGCGUUGUUCGGAAUUACUGGGCGUAAAGGGCGCGUAGGUGGCCUGUUAAGUCGAACGUGAAAUCCCCGGGCUCAACCCGGGAACUGCGUCCGAGACUGGCAGGCUCGAAUCCGGGAGAGGGAUGUGGAAUUCCAGGUGUAGCGGUGAAAUGCGUAGAUAUCUGGAGGAACACCGGUGGCGAAGGCGGCAUUCUGGACCGGUAUUGACGCUGAGGCGCGAAAGCCAGGGGAGCAAACGGG
This 253-nucleotide ribosomal RNA is filed under the name uncultured bacterium. Its description in RNAcentral is "partial 16S ribosomal RNA". It matches the Rfam family "Bacterial small subunit ribosomal RNA", at positions 524 to 776 of the family's 1533-position model. The record is from RNAcentral.